CGGGGUGAGUAAUGCUUGGGAAGUCUGGCUUAUGGAGGGGGAUAACUACGGGAAACUGUAGCUAAUACCGCGUAGAAUCGGGAGAUGAAAGUGUGGGACCUUCGGGCCACAUGCCAUAGGAUGAGCCCAAGUGGGAUUAGGUAGUUGGUGAGGUAAAGGCUCACCAAGCCGACGAUCUCUAGCUGGUCUGAGAGGAUGACCAGCCACACUGGGACUGAGACACGGCCCAG
Molecule: ribosomal RNA, 230 nt
Filed under: uncultured bacterium
Lineage: Bacteria
Description: partial 16S ribosomal RNA
Rfam family: Bacterial small subunit ribosomal RNA
Source: RNAcentral